UUAUUUAAUGUUAUCGUCUAAGUUAUGUUCCUAGUUCUUCUAAUGCCGUUAUGUUUCUAUUUCGUUUUAUCCUCUAUGCGUGAAGUUGUUCAAGUUCUUGUAAUGCUUCUAUAAAGUUAUGUUUCAAUUUGUGCUUAACCUCUGGUUUACAAGGUUUAUCGGUUUAAGGGUUUAUUCGGAUGUAAGCAAUAAAUUUGAAGUUUCGUAAUCCAUACUUCUUUCUGUACUUACAUUAUAACUUUAAAGUUACUAUAAAUGUAGGAAUAAACAUGAUUGGAUUGACGCAAAAAGACAGUUUUGUGAUAGACGUGGCCAGGCAUAAUAAAUACAAAUUUCAAUAUAGAUGUGCACGUGUAAAUCUGAACGUACAUAAACCAAUAAACUCGAAAAUUGUAAUUUGAAGUUUCGGUUUUAAUCGGAAAUAGUUUAUAGUUUAC
RNAcentral lists this small RNA (437 nucleotides) under Arabidopsis thaliana (thale cress). RNAcentral's name for it is "ATSL262430". The record is from RNAcentral. Lineage: Eukaryota; Viridiplantae; Streptophyta; Magnoliopsida; Brassicales; Brassicaceae.